Molecule: long non-coding RNA, 743 nt
Organism: Oncorhynchus gorbuscha (pink salmon)
Lineage: Eukaryota; Metazoa; Chordata; Actinopteri; Salmoniformes; Salmonidae
Exons: 3
Source: RefSeq, a predicted model, not a curated record
UAAACAAGUGGAGUUAGUAGCAUGACAUCUAAUUUCAUCGUGCAUGUCCAGGCAGCUAUAGAAGAUUAAAACAAACCAGGAUGUUCUUUCAGAGGACUCCCCCUUUUCAAACUGCUGUUUGACAUUCGAUCAGGACUGAAUCAACUCUGCUGGCUUUUUAGAAAAUCCAUAACAGGUUGCAUUGGAGUUUCCAAUGCCAGCCUGUGAUAUGAAGAGCAGCUCAAUCCUCAGUCUUCCACAGAUUUACUGAAGGCAUUUAACUGAAUUGGGGCUCCAUACGGUUCAUAUUCCUUUAGCUGGAGGGUAUACUUUUCUCUCUAAUGUAUUGAUAUUUGGUUACUCACUGGAUAGGGAUGUAUUGUGCAUUAAUGUAUAGAGAUUAUGAAAAUCGGCAACUGCUGAAAUAGAUCUUCAUGUGGUUUGAUAUUCUACAGAUGUGAAUGGAUAAUCUCCCUGGCACCACUAUGAUGGGUUAGGGCAGAAGAGUGAGUUUCCAUACAGUCGCAGGGGACAGAGAGCCUCAUCCAGCUUCAUACUAGAUAUGGUCAGCUGGAGGGCAGACUGGUCAGAGUGAGAGAGAGAGCCAGAGGAAGGUGGCUGCCUACCUGGGGAUCCCCUGAGCCCCCUUGUCGGGCCGCUGAAGUUCCAGGCCCCCCAGCCUCCCCGGGUGUGGCAGGGACUGAGAGACGCCAAGGCUUACCCCCCUCUGUGUCUGCAGAACAUGAACCACACUAGACAGAUGG